This 639-nucleotide small RNA is filed under the name Pan troglodytes (chimpanzee). Its description in RNAcentral is "retained intron". Lineage: Eukaryota; Metazoa; Chordata; Mammalia; Primates; Hominidae. The record is from RNAcentral.
AGUUUUUUUCUUGGUAGCAAGCUGUAGAUUUUGUUUCAAGGAAAGCAUCUUCAUCUUCUCUAGUUUCAUCAUGUAUAGAUGGAGAUUCCGAUGCAGAAAAUAUUUACACCAGCAGCUCCAGUUCAUACCAAUAAAGAAGAUCCUGCUACCCAAACUAAUUUGGGAUUUAUCCAUGCAUUUGUCGCUGCCAUAUCAGUUAUUAUUGUAUCUGAAUUGGGUGAUAAGACAUUUUUUAUAGCAGCCAUCAUGGCAAUGCGCUAUAACCGCCUGACCGUGCUGGCUGGUGCAAUGCUUGCCUUGGGACUAAUGACAUGCUUGUCAGGUGAGUGUGCUUUUCCCUCUCAUGAGUUCGCUGAAUUAAAGGGAAAGCGUGUUGUGUGACAUGGAGUCACUGAGUCAUUAACCUAGUCUUAUGGGAAUUUGGCUUACACCAUAUUUGUGGUCUUCCAACCUUUUCCUUGUGUAUCCUUUCCUUGUGUAUCCUCUAAAAUAAUUUUGUACCCCCUCUCGCAUAGUUGUCUGAAAUUUUUCAUCUUCAAUUUAAGGAAUUGCAAAGAUCUAAUUUCUGUUAUAUUGUGUAAAGUAAGACAGUUAGGGCUGGGCACAGUCACUCAUGCCUGUAAUCCCAGCACUUUGGGA